GACGAACGCUGGCGGCGUGCCUAAUACAUGCAAGUAGAACGCACAGGAUGCACCGUAGUUUACUACACCGUAUUCUGUGAGUUGCGAACGGGUGAGUAACGCGUAGGUAACCUGCCUGGUAGCGGGGGAUAACUAUUGGAAACGAUAGCUAAUACCGCAUAAGAACAUUUACUGCAUGGUAGAUGUUUAAAAGGUGCAAAUGCAUCACUACCAGAUGGACCUGCGUUGUAUUAGCUAGUUGGUGAGGUAACGGCUCACCAAGGCAACGAAACAUAGCCGACCUGAGAGGGUGAUCGGCCACACUGGGACUGAGACACGGCCCAGACUCCUACGGGAGGCAGCAGUAGGGAAUCUUCGGCAAUGGGGGGAACCCUGACCGAGCAACGCCGCGUGAGUGAAGAAGGUUUUCGGAUCGUAAAGCUCUGUUGUUAAGGAAGAACGUGUGUGAGAGGGAAAGUUCACACAGUGACG
RNAcentral lists this ribosomal RNA (471 nucleotides) under Streptococcus constellatus. RNAcentral describes it as "bacterial SSU rRNA". It matches the Rfam family "Bacterial small subunit ribosomal RNA", at positions 28 to 474 of the family's 1533-position model. The record is from RNAcentral. Lineage: Bacteria; Bacillati; Bacillota; Bacilli; Lactobacillales; Streptococcaceae.